AAUAUAGCUAGAGGACCAUUCAGAACAGAGUCAUUGGACGGGGGCUAAUCUGAGGUUAUCCGUUUCGUUUUUCGUUUUGGCAACAAAAGAAGCAAACGUGUCUAGUUACUUUGGUAUUGUUUUUCGUUUUCUCUUUUAAGAAAAACGGAAACGCGUUUCGAACUAGUGUUCACAAGAAUAACGUUUCCAAGGGUUUUGAAACCGCUUUGCACACCGUUCUCUCUCUUCUUCCCACCAAGAUCCUGACUCCAGCAAGUUAUGGUACGACAAAAAUAAUUUAAUUCAUUUUUUUUUCACUUUAAUGGCUUAUCAGUUUUAUCGAUGACUUUUUAAAAAAAAAAUUAAGACAUUCUCUGUUCCAAGUGAAGAAUGCUAGAGUCAAUGAUCUGAGCACUCAAAGAAAAAUUCGAUAAGGAAUUUCAAGAAUUUGACUCAAGAAACUGUGAUUGGUUAUGAUUCUACAACAGGGAAAGUUGAAGCAGCUGAUGAACACUGGAGGGUGUUGUCCAAGGUGCAUAGAAUGGCAAAAAGAUUCAAGAGGAAGGGUUGCAAAGAAUACCUGGACUUGUGUUUGUCUUUGAUGACGCAACUACUCCCGGUGCGCAUGCACAUUCAUCUCCCGAAUCGCCAUCAUCAGGGAAAGAGUGAUAAUCGUCUCAGAGAAUGUGUCUGAGUCUGAACCUAGUGAAUCUUCCAAGUCUGGCCACAAGAAAAGGGCUAGAAGGACCUGUAGCAGUAUUUUAGAGAAAGCUUUGGUAACUAUGGGGGAGCAAUCAAAGAGAAACAAUGAUUUGCUUGGACACAGGUUAGCAACAUCAUCAUCCACAAGGGUUAGUGGAGUUGGGGCAAAUUCACUUACUAAUAGUGAAGUUAAUGCCAUGAAAGAGUGUUUAAAGGCUUUGAAUGCUUUGGGAAUUACUGGUGCCCCAUAUGGGAAGGCUGUGAAGGCCCUUCAUGACUCCACCUUGUAUAGAGAGAUUUUCCUGGACAUGCCCGAUGAGAGGAAGAAGGAUUGGAUAUCGACUCUUUAACGAAGUUUUGUGCUAAUUUCUAAGUAUCGUUUAGUUUUCUUGAAGACUUUUUUUCUUUUUCUUGAAGAAAAACAAGGAUGAUUAUUUUCGGUUUAAUUUGGUUUUUAUAAAAAAAUAAUAACCAAACUGAAAAAAAUGGAAUGGACGAUUUUUUUUCUCUAAUUUGUAAUCAUUUGUUCGUUGGACCAAUAUGAAGAUUGCUGUAAUUAUAGAGAUCGUGCGCCCAUCUUUAGCUUCAUGCAAA
Long non-coding RNA from Populus trichocarpa (black cottonwood), 1275 nucleotides. RefSeq lists it as uncharacterized. The record is from RefSeq and is a predicted model, not a curated record. NCBI's taxonomy places the organism in Eukaryota, Viridiplantae, Streptophyta, Magnoliopsida, Malpighiales, Salicaceae. The transcript is spliced from 2 exons.